Molecule: ribosomal RNA, 631 nt
Filed under: Bacillus sp. (in: firmicutes)
Lineage: Bacteria; Bacillati; Bacillota; Bacilli; Caryophanales; Bacillaceae
Description: bacterial SSU rRNA
Rfam family: Bacterial small subunit ribosomal RNA
Source: RNAcentral
AUACAUGCAAGUCGAGCGGACCUUUUAAAAGCUUGCUUUUGAAAGGUCAGCGGCGGACGGGUGAGUAACACGUGGGCAACCUGCCUGUAAGACUGGGAUAACUUCGGGAAACCGGAGCUAAUACCGGAUAAUAUAAGGAACCUCCUGGUUCUUUAUUGAAAGAUGGUUUCGGCUAUCACUUACAGAUGGGCCCGCGGCGCAUUAGCUAGUUGGUGAGGUAACGGCUCACCAAGGCGACGAUGCGUAGCCGACCUGAGAGGGUGAUCGGCCACACUGGGACUGAGACACGGCCCAGACUCCUACGGGAGGCAGCAGUAGGGAAUCUUCCACAAUGGACGAAAGUCUGAUGGAGCAACGCCGCGUGAGCGAUGAAGGCCUUCGGGUCGUAAAGCUCUGUUGUUAGGGAAGAACAAGUGCGAGAGUAACUGCUCGCACCUUGACGGUACCUAACCAGAAAGCCACGGCUAACUACGUGCCAGCAGCCGCGGUAAUACGUAGGUGGCAAGCGUUGUCCGGAAUUAUUGGGCGUAAAGCGCGCGCAGGUGGUCCUUUAAGUCUGAUGUGAAAGCCCACGGCUCAACCGUGGAGGGUCAUUGGAAACUGGGGGACUUGAGUGCAGAAGAGGGAAAGU